Molecule: long non-coding RNA, 1209 nt
Organism: Suricata suricatta (meerkat)
Lineage: Eukaryota; Metazoa; Chordata; Mammalia; Carnivora; Herpestidae
Exons: 2
Source: RefSeq, a predicted model, not a curated record
GCCCAAGAGGAAAGGGAGGAGGUUGAGGGUCCAGCAGAGCCUCCAGCUCCACAGGAGUGUUCCAGGCCCAAGACGCCCGAAUGGCUGGUGGCCCUGGAGAGCGGCUACAGGUGCAUGGGCUGCUGCCGGGUCUUCCCCACCUUAGAGGUCCUCAAGCAGCACGUGCAGAAUGGGGCCAGUGAGGGCUUUAGCUGCCGUGCUUUUCAUCUUGCCUAUACUAGGCUGAAGUUGAAAGGAGAAGAAGAUGGAGAAGAAAAUGAGAAGGAAGAGGAAAGAGAUGGAGAUAACACUUAGAUGCCAGAAAGGAAAGCAUUCAUGAUGCCAGAAUGGAAAGCAUUCUGGCAUCAAAGUCUCCAUCCAAAUAAAGAGGUGAUUUUUCAGCCCCUAAAAGAGAGGAAGUAGAGUAGACCAUACUCUACUCAGGGGCCUCUGUCUUCCCUCAACACCCCUAGUGCCCACUGUUAGGUUUAUUUACACCCACCCUGUCCCCACCACUCUCACCGCACCACCAGUAGGAGCAGAGAACCAUUUUCCGUUACAUCCACUGUUCUCCCAAGAUGGAGGAGCAAGAAGGCAGGUCACACCAUGUGGAACAGCAAGACGCUCUUGAACCAACUAAAGAGCAGUGAACACCGAUAUACCAUCUCCACCAUGACAGUUGAUAUAAAAGGCUUACUCGAAGGUGGAAAAACUGCUAGGAGUCAAGUCGCACAAGAGCAACACAGACCCAUUGGCCCAAAGAUGUCAAGCAGCGGUUUCUAGCACCUUCCUAGAGUCCCACUAGAGCCAGAAGAUCUCAUGAGCCCCACAGCCUCAAGUGAGGGCCGGCUGAAGAUGGCUAUACCUGAUCCUUGUGGCUGCUCCCGAGUUAGCCUGGUGAAAUGCGGUGCCCUCGUCUGGAGAAAACACCCACAUUGCCCUGUGAGGGGCCCGAGGAACGCCAGGAACAAUGUGCGUCAGGAGAUCUCUGGGAGGCCCUUCCUCCCCGCCUGCCCACCCAGCCCUCCAGGAGUCAGGUGCCGUGGCAGACAUCUGUAAGGUCGUCUCAUGGAGAAGAGGGAGGCGUCCCCAGAGAGGUGGCAGGACUGUGGAAGCUCAGUUCUCAUCCCUAGAGCUUUCACCAGUGCAACGGAAGAUCGAGGACAACUUGGCAGGGCUCAGGGGAGGAGACUGCUCACUUGACAGAGGCUUUAAAAGGAUAUUCCAGUU